This 1057-nucleotide long non-coding RNA is filed under the name Junco hyemalis (dark-eyed junco). RNAcentral's name for it is "lncRNA (ENSJHYG00000015446.1)". The record is from RNAcentral. Lineage: Eukaryota; Metazoa; Chordata; Aves; Passeriformes; Passerellidae.
CCCUUCCCUGUCCCGGAGCUGGAAACAGAAUCUGCCUAGAAGGCAAGCGAGCGGUUUCUCGGAGCCGCCGGGCUGGCUGCCUUCCAGCUUCAAAACCUGGCGGGGUGGGCGAUAAGGGAUGCCUGGUCCCGCCAGGGAGGAAGGUGGGAGCGCUACACCUCGCCUCCGGCCGGUGCUGCUGCUCCGGAAAGUACCAAUGGCAUCCAUCCACCCGGCCUUUGAUCCAUGGCAUCGGAAAAUUGGUGACAAAUCCAGAGAAUUUCUGUUGGAUCCAGCUAAAGUGUUCUGAAGCUGCAGCAUCUGACUAAGAAGAGGAUUUGCCCACCCUGCAAAAGAUGCACUUGUAGCAGCCUUCCAUCCUAUCACAGGUGGAUCUGACCUUGCACCUUUCACAUUUCUUUCAAAAUUACCCCGCAGAACCUCAGGAAACACAGACCAAGGAGCCAAACUCUGGGGUGUGGGCGGGAAGGUGAGUGAGAGAUGAGCUGAGAAGGUAUGGGGGUGGACAGCAAGGUACAGGCAAAGUAUAUAGAAUGAAGAAAGAAAAAGAAAACAGAGAAGAAACAAUGGCAAAGCAAAAACUAUGUAGGAACUAUGAAAUUCUGGAUUUUUUAUUACAUUUUUGGAGGCAAGUUCUCCUUUAGGUGGAAAUAAUCCUCCCAGAGGGUAAGUUUUUUCUGAGCAUUUAUUUGAGAUAAGAAAUUUUAGCUGUCGAUAAAAUAGAGUCCUUGAGAUAGAGCUGUUUCACCUCUGCCAUGCUCAGUGGACAUGCAGCAUGAGCCCCAGCUUGCCUGCAAAGGACAGGGGGAACAAACAUCUCUUGUGGCUGGAAGAACAAAAUUAACCUUCAUGUGAAGCUGGCUAGAGAAGAAACAUGUAUACUGGAUAAUAUUCAUACCACAACACCACUUCUAUGCUAGCCAUUAAUUUUCCUCUCCUUAAGGGCAAGAAUGAAGAAGCAUUUCAGAAUUAAAGGUGAGAGUAGAAUGACAGGGCACCAAGGAAAAGCCUGUUUCCUGGGGAAACUGCUGAGAGUCAUCUCUCUUGAUUGUACCUG